This 99-nucleotide microRNA precursor is filed under the name Ochotona princeps (American pika). RNAcentral's name for it is "miRNA (ENSOPRG00000018061.1)". The stretch from base 12 to 80 matches the Rfam family "mir-29 microRNA precursor family". From Rfam's summary of the family: This family represents the microRNA (miRNA) precursors mir-29. Animal miRNAs are transcribed as ~70nt precursors and subsequently processed by the Dicer enzyme to give a ~22nt product. Lineage: Eukaryota; Metazoa; Chordata; Mammalia; Lagomorpha; Ochotonidae. The record is from RNAcentral.
AAGCUUCUUCAGGAAGCUGGUUUCAUAUGUGGUUUAGAUUUAAAUAGUGAUUGUCUAGCACCAUUUGAAAUCAGUGUUCCUUGGGGAGGCCAAGUGCAC